UGGGGAAUCUUGCGCCAAUGCGCGAAAGCGUGACGCAGCGACGCCGCGUGGGGGAUGAAGGCCCUCGGGUUGUAAACCCCUUUCGCCAGGGACGAAGCGAAAGUGACGGUACCUGGAGAAGAAGUCCCGGCUAACUACGUGCCAGCAGCCGCGGUAACACGUAGGGGACGAGCGUUGUCCGGAUUCAUUGGGCGUAAAGCGCGCGUAGGCGGUCGUGCAAGUCGGUUGUGAAAUCCCGGGGCUCAACCCCGGGACUGCGUCCGAUACUGUGCGACUGGAGGCAGGUAGGGGAGAUCGGAAUUCCUGGUGUAGCGGUGAAAUGCGCAGAUAUCAGGAGGAACACCGGUGGCGAAGGCGGAUCUCUGGGCCUUGCCUGACGCUGAGGCGCGAAAGCUAGGGGAGCGAACAGG
This 410-nucleotide ribosomal RNA is filed under the name uncultured Actinomycetales bacterium. Its description in RNAcentral is "bacterial SSU rRNA". It matches the Rfam family "Bacterial small subunit ribosomal RNA", at positions 355 to 776 of the family's 1533-position model. The record is from RNAcentral. Lineage: Bacteria; Bacillati; Actinomycetota; Actinomycetes; Actinomycetales.